This 346-nucleotide ribosomal RNA is filed under the name uncultured bacterium. RNAcentral describes it as "partial 16S ribosomal RNA". It matches the Rfam family "Bacterial small subunit ribosomal RNA", at positions 338 to 681 of the family's 1533-position model. The record is from RNAcentral.
CCUACGGGCGGCAGCAGGGAGGAAUAUUGGGCAAUGGGCGCGAGCCUGAACCAGCCAAGUAGCGUGAAGGAUGACUGCCCUACGGGUUGUAAACUUCUUUUAUAAAGGAAUAAAGUGAGGCACGUGGGCCGUUUUGUAUGUACGUUAUGAAUAAGGAUCGGCUAACUCCGUGCCAGCAGCCGCGGUAAUACGGAGGAUCCGAGCGUUAUCCGGAUUUAUUGGGUUUAAAGGGAGCGUAGAUGGGUUGUUAAAUCAGUUGUGAAAGUUUGCGGCUCAACCGUAAAAUUGCAAUUGAUACUGGCAGUCUUGAGUACCGUUGCGGUAGGCGGAAUUCGUGGUGUAGCGG